RNAcentral lists this long non-coding RNA (230 nucleotides) under Lupinus angustifolius (narrow-leaved blue lupine). RNAcentral's name for it is "long non-coding RNA (LANG_LNC000433)". Lineage: Eukaryota; Viridiplantae; Streptophyta; Magnoliopsida; Fabales; Fabaceae. The record is from RNAcentral.
UCUUUUCAAGAGCCCACUACGCUCCUAACCAGGACGAUAUUUCCGCCCUCAAAGGGGAAAUUCACGGAUUGAUUCAAGAGCAAGUACGUGUGGAAUCAGAAAAAGGAAUGGGUCCCCUGUCCAUUCUGUUUCCACAACAAAGACAGAUCAACUCCCAAAUGGCCCACUAUAUUCUAAGGGAACUUGAACUGUCCACGGAGACUGAUACGGGCCUUCUUCGGCAAUGGGCG